RNAcentral lists this long non-coding RNA (1478 nucleotides) under Capra hircus (goat). RNAcentral describes it as "lncRNA (ENSCHIG00010003255.1)". Lineage: Eukaryota; Metazoa; Chordata; Mammalia; Artiodactyla; Bovidae. The record is from RNAcentral.
ACAGGGGCCUUCAGGAGAGAAACAACCUGCAGCCCAGCCAGGAUGGAACUGAGGCGCUAAAGGCCCCAAACUUGCCCUUCUGCUACCGUCCUGUCUUCUGCCAGCCCCUCCCACUGGCCAGGCUUGACUUGGAGCAGAGGGCAAGGAAGCUGGUUGAUGCAAUCCAUGUAAGUAAGCCUCGAGUGGCACAGUGCAGGGAGGAGAAGAAUGGAAAAUGGAUUUAGAAGGAUAAAUGGAGGACAUCUGGCACAGGGGAUGGUCCCCAGGUACCACCGUGGACACUUUAGCUUCUUUAUUUGUUUACCAAUUUUCAUUUAUUAAAUCUAUAAAACACUGUCAAACUUUCUGGUCACUUGGUACCUGGUCAUUGUUGGGGAGGUUUCCAUGUUCAGAGCUUUGGCUCUGUAAGAUAGAAAACAGAAAGCCUGCUUCCCCAGCCCCUCGUUUGCAGCAAGCUUCAGGUGUGAGCCGGGGUACAUCAAUUAGACACAUCCAAAGCACAGCAGAUUCCUGCUUGAAGAAAAGCUUCAUAUUUUGCUACUCAGGAUGGCAAGAGAGGUGACUGGCUUUCGGGAUCAGUAGGAUUAUAGUUGAGCUCCCAUAACCGGAGAAGUAUAAACACACUGCCCAAUUCCAGCAGAUGUCAUUGACAUCAAGGUGUGUUCUACACAGAAAUAGCACUGGUGCUGGUGGCAGUCGUCAUUUCAGUAAAGCCAAGUUUCUGUAAGCAUCUAGUUCACUAUAACGUCCAGUGCUCAGUGCUUGAAACAGUAGCCUUUCUCAGCAGGCUGCUUCUAAGAUUUGGAGCCCUGUUUAGCCUUCCCAACAAUUUUGUGAGCUACACAAAACCCUAGUAAUGAAUUUUUUCUGCUCAAUCAACCAGAGUCAGUUUCUGAUGCUUGUAGCUGUGGACCCUGAAAUGUAUAAUACUUCUCUUUUCAUUUCUAUUCUUAUUUUUUUAUUCUCUUAUAUUUAUCUAAAGUGAAUGUGUUAGUCACUCAGUAGCCCACCAGGCUCCUCUGUCCAUGGAAUUCUUCAGGCAAGGAUACUGGNNNNNNNNNNNNNNNNNNNNNNNNNNNNNNNNNNNNNNNNNNNNNNNNNNNCUCCUGCAUUGCAGGCAGAUUCUUUACCAUCUGAGCAACCAGGGAAGCCCCAUAUUUAUCUAAACUAAACACUUAAUAGGGCCACAUGACAGACAGAAUAAGGAGUAGCCUCCUAACUCUGCUUUCUAUCAGAAGCAAGAGAGGCUGGUAUGCACAUAUUUACAUUUGAAAAACUCACAGUAGAUUGAAACUGAGACCUUAUGAAAACUGGAUGUGAUUUGUUCUGUGAAAUGCCUCCACUUUUUAAAUAGUUAAGCAUCGCAAUAGAAAUCAUUUAUCAAGUAUCCUAGUUCCAUCACUUCUGAUAUAUGCUACUGACAGCUUUGUUCAAGAAAUACAAAUCUAAGAGAACCCAAUUAUUAAGCUUUAGCUUUG